Molecule: transfer RNA, 46 nt
Filed under: Neurospora crassa
Lineage: Eukaryota; Fungi; Ascomycota; Sordariomycetes; Sordariales; Sordariaceae
Description: partial transfer RNA
Source: RNAcentral
GGAUACUUCUAAUAUUCCGAUUUUAGUUCGAAUCUAAAAUGAGAAU